RNAcentral lists this long non-coding RNA (415 nucleotides) under Struthio camelus australis. Its description in RNAcentral is "lncRNA (ENSSCUG00000015456.1)". Lineage: Eukaryota; Metazoa; Chordata; Aves; Struthioniformes; Struthionidae. The record is from RNAcentral.
GGAAACUCUUCCAGUGCCUGGAGCAAGUAUUGCUUCCUGAACAUCAAGAUACAGUGAGAAGAGUAAAAGCAACACCCACCUUGAGGCAGCUUCCUGAUAGUGCUAGGCAGCUGGGCUCCCUUGGUCUCUCUGCAGUCAGUAAGGGGAAGCAGGCGCCUCCAGAGGAAGUCACAACCCAGAAGCCUGUGUUCACUCACUAUAGACAAUAUUUUGGAAGAUGAGGCUAUCGUUUGGCGACGGUGUCCUUCAGGUUGUGAAGAGUCCCAUCCAGAUCACUGCCCUUUCAUGGUUGUUAUGGCGGCCCUGUGACUUCAGCUAAUCUUGGUACUUAAUAUCCAUAGAAACAAUUGCUUCUACAAUGGACAAGAGGACAGCUAACAGGCUAGAUUAAAAUGAAGAUUACAUAUAAAAUCAC